This 733-nucleotide long non-coding RNA is filed under the name Helianthus annuus (common sunflower). RNAcentral describes it as "hypothetical non coding rna". Lineage: Eukaryota; Viridiplantae; Streptophyta; Magnoliopsida; Asterales; Asteraceae. The record is from RNAcentral.
GGCAAUUAGAUGCUUGCCGUAGCACCUUCUUAUAGUAAGAUUCUUGAGUUGAGGUGCAACCACUUUGAAAGCAUGCAGAGUCCCACAUUCAUUUUCAAGUUUACUUAAGGUGAGAUUCUUUAAGUUUGCACACUUUGAGAAAAUACGAGCACCUUUCUCAUCAUAAAACGCGACGUAAUCAAGCUUCAACGUCGUUAGAGCCGGGAGGUCCCAAGUUGAUCCAAUAAUAAUAGAAUACUGGUCAAUAAAGCUAACAGAAGAUCCAGACAAACUAAGAUACUUGAGGGACCGAGAACGAAGGAGAAAAAGAGGAAAAUCAAUCCUCUCAGCACGCAGCCAUGUUACAGUCAGUUGUUGGAUAUUGUGAGAGAACGCAUAGUCAAGAAUUGUUUUCAGCAACGCCUCGCUAAGUGCUUCACGAAAACUGAGGUUGACUGAAUAAACUUCCGUUUGAUCGUUGCGAUGAGACAAAACAUUGUUAACAAACUCAGAGAAGGCACGUAAAGAACGGAAAUUGUCGGUUGAGAUAUUGAGACAGGGCAUGGAAGUCCAGAUAAACCGCCAUCUAGAAGACAAAGCAGUGGUUUGAACAGCAUGUUUAAUGUGAAUAAGAGAGAGGAUUCUAUGGAUGAGAUCAUCCGGCAACAUGCUUAGCCGAUCGACUUGUGCAUUCGUUCUAGCUUUACUAUGCUCGGAAUCCAUUAUCUCCUCACGCUAACACUAUAAUUCCAUA